UACGAAGGGUGCAAGCGUUAAUCGGAAUUACUGGGCGUAAAGCGUGCGUAGGCGGUUUGUUAAGUCCGAUGUGAAAGCCCUGGGCUCAACCUGGGAAUGGCAUUGGAUACUGGCGAGCUAGAGUCAGGUAGAGGGUGGUGGAAUUCCCGGUGUAGCGGUGAAAUGCGUAGAGAUCGGGAGGAACAUCUGUGGCGAAGGCGGCCACCUGGACCAUGACUGACGCUGAGGCACGAAAGCGUGGGGAGCAAAC
RNAcentral lists this ribosomal RNA (250 nucleotides) under uncultured bacterium. Its description in RNAcentral is "partial 16S ribosomal RNA". It matches the Rfam family "Bacterial small subunit ribosomal RNA", at positions 524 to 773 of the family's 1533-position model. The record is from RNAcentral.